UUUCGUAGGUGAACUGCGGAAGGAUCAUUAAAAUGUGGUACAUUUGUUGUACUAAUUAAUCAUCCUACCCUUUGUGAAUUUGUUUGUAAUGAAUUUUUUUAAAUGGGUCUUUCCCUAAGUUGGAUUGUAGUGAAAUACAAAGACUUAGGGGAAUGACUUUUUUAAAAGACUUUUUUUUAAAUUAAACUUUUGUAUUCAUUUGUCUAAAAUUUAUUUUUAUAAUAUAAAAACAACUUUUGACAAUGGAUCUCUUGGUUCUCGCAACGAUGAAGAACGCAGCAAAAUGCGAUAAGUAGUGUGAAUUGCAGAAUACGUGAAUCAUCGAAUCUUCGAACGCAUAUUGCACUCUUUUAGUUUACUAAAAAGUAUGUCUGUUUGAGUAUCAGUAAAAUAUUCUCACAAACAUAUAUUGUUUGUGGUUAUGAGUGUUUUACAACGAUAAACAAGUUGUUUCACUUUAAUUCUUUUUGUAAUUUUACUACAUUUACAAAUUAAAAUUGGAUAAAUUUUCCUUAACGAGGAAUAACCUAAACAAUUUUAAUUUUUUGGUUCGUAAAUCCCAUGAAGGAAUCUAUACAUAAAUAACUUGAUCUCAAAUCAGAUAAGAGUACCCGCUGAACUUAAGCAUAUCAAUAAGCGGAGGAAAAGAAACUAACAAGGAUUCCCUUAGUAACGGCGAGUGAAGCGGGAAGAGCUCAAAUUUGAAAUCUUCAAGGUUUGACCUUGACGAAUUGUAGUUUAUAGAAGUGUUUCUGUUGAGUUUUGGUAAAAGUUCUUUGGAAUAGACAUCAUAGAGGGUGAGAAUCCCGUAUUUGACCAUGACUUUCCAGCUGUGUGAUACCUUUCAAAGAGUCGGAUUGUUUGGGAAUGCAGUCCAAAUGGGUGGUAAAUUUCAUCUAAAGCUAAAUAUUGGCGAGAGACCGAUAGCGAACAAGUACCGUGAGGGAAAGAUGAAAAGAACUUUGAAAAGAGAGUUAAACAGUACGUGAAAUUGUCAAAGGAAGCGUUUGACACCAGUGUUGUUUCUCGAAAAUCAAUUUAAUGAGUUCUGUUUUAAGUUAUUGUGACUUUAUCAGCGCAUUUCUUAUUUUACUUGACUCAUUGAAUGCACUUUUCGUUUAACAAGUCAACAUCAAUUUCUUUUGGUGGUAAAAGUUAAAGGAAGGUGGCUUGACUUCGGUUCAAGUGUUUAUAGCCUUUUUCUAUGCAUCGGAGAGAUUGAGGUCUGCAGCGUAGAUCCUUCGGGUUAGAUACCUUUGUGCUAAGUUAUAGUUUUUAUAGACAACUUGUUGACUAUAAUUAACCCUGUAAUUUACUCGCUUAGGCUAUUU
This 1331-nucleotide unclassified non-coding RNA is filed under the name uncultured Neocallimastigales. RNAcentral describes it as "partial contains internal transcribed spacer 1, 5.8S ribosomal RNA, internal transcribed spacer 2, and large subunit ribosomal RNA". The stretch from base 588 to 1331 matches the Rfam family "Eukaryotic large subunit ribosomal RNA", at positions 1 to 631 of the family's 3401-position model. The record is from RNAcentral. Lineage: Eukaryota; Fungi; Neocallimastigomycota; Neocallimastigomycetes; Neocallimastigales.